AGUACUUAAAAACUAAUUAUCAACUCAAAUCUAUAGAAAUUAUUGAAAGAAAACAUGAAAAAACUUGAAAAGUAAUCGGUUAUAAAACCGAUCGACGGCAGAAAAGAUAGAAGCCGGCCAAAACCACUCAUAGAAGCUGGAUUUGCCGGACGAUAACCGGCUAUCUCCACUAACAGAACUGGAAGAUAUCGGGCAACAGUCCAAAACACUUGGGACAGCGAUUCACCGGAAAAUUUCCGGUCUGUAAACAUCAAAAACUUUCUCUCUCUGAAAGUUAUGUGAGAGAGAACAGAGUUUUAUUUGAAAUUGCGGUUUACAAAAACAAAUCGGAAACCACACUACACAACACGGUAUUGAGAAAUCAU
RNAcentral lists this small RNA (365 nucleotides) under Arabidopsis thaliana (thale cress). RNAcentral's name for it is "ATSL027430". The record is from RNAcentral. Lineage: Eukaryota; Viridiplantae; Streptophyta; Magnoliopsida; Brassicales; Brassicaceae.